UACGGAGGGUGCAAGCGUUGUUCGGAAUCACUGGGCGUAAAGGGCGUGUAGGCGGCUCACUAAGUCUGGUGUGAAAGCCCGGGGCUUACCCCCGGAAGUGCACUGGAAACUGGCGAGCUCGAGUCCCGGAGAGGAAGGUGGAAUUCCUGGUGUAGCGGUGAAAUGCGUAGAUAUCAGGAGGAACACCGGCGGCGAAGGCGGCCUUCUGGACGGUGACUGACGCUGAGACGCGAAAGCGUGGGGAGCAAACAGG
RNAcentral lists this ribosomal RNA (253 nucleotides) under uncultured bacterium. RNAcentral describes it as "partial 16S ribosomal RNA". It matches the Rfam family "Bacterial small subunit ribosomal RNA", at positions 524 to 776 of the family's 1533-position model. The record is from RNAcentral.